CUGUGUGCGUAACAAGUGACGUGGUCACGUGAUGCGCAUCCUGGCACUUCCAUUACUUUCAGUCUUGCCAUUCCCAUAUCUUCGCACGUUGAUGCAGGUGCAUGGGCUACCUGGGUGAUGUGCUGCGCCAAGCUGGGCGGUCGAGGACAAGGGUCUCCCACCUGGCACUAUCGAUGCCAAGAUCUUUGAGGUUGUCUUUGUGGCUUUUUUCCCCUCUACGGCUGUAGGCUGGUCUGCCACAGUUCUACACAGAAUAGUUGAUUUGUCAGGCAUACAAAUGACACGCCCAACCACGCGUCUUCAGCAGAAGGGAUGCGGAUUCUAUGAAUACAGGCAUGCCUAUGAAAAUCUUUGUCGGGGAUCUCAUCCUUCCAAAGAAGUCGGCGGAGGAGGCUUAAAUGAUUUAAUCAAUUGGCAUGUCUAGCGGUAAUGGUUUAAGUCUUACUGCCAUAGAGGCUACUGCUACUUUAAGCCUGGCGGUAGGGACGAGACCACUCCACUCCCAGACGUUUCCGAGAAGUCUACCAUAGACAGCACUCGCUUUGGCCACUCUUGCAGACCUUCACAUCGAUGUUUUCCGUUUGAAUGAGCGUUGCUCAUGUAAUUAAAGUGUUCAACUGCA
Molecule: long non-coding RNA, 622 nt
Organism: Pomacea canaliculata
Lineage: Eukaryota; Metazoa; Mollusca; Gastropoda; Architaenioglossa; Ampullariidae
Exons: 2
Source: RefSeq, a predicted model, not a curated record